Molecule: long non-coding RNA, 767 nt
Filed under: Heterocephalus glaber (naked mole-rat)
Lineage: Eukaryota; Metazoa; Chordata; Mammalia; Rodentia; Bathyergidae
Description: lncRNA (ENSHGLG00100036974.1)
Source: RNAcentral
CUCGAAUGUGUUAUGCUGGGGUUAAGGGCGCGUGAUUACUAAACCACUACAUGUGAGUGAUUAGUUUGGCACCGCCCUAAUCCCCGGUAGUCUGAAUAAGAUAAAAAGAUGCUGUUAAACUUCCCUUGUUCCUUUUGCUACCUUGUACGCGCCAUGUUGUUUCUGCUCUGCGAGGCCUGUUUGUCAUCCCUGUCGUGGAGCCAGCCAACUGUGGACUGAAACCUCUACAAACUGACAAGAAUUAGAAAAGUGGUUACAACCUGGAAGACCUUCCAGUGCCCCUCCCUGACAUGGAUUUCCCUCUCCCCACCAGAGGUAACCAAUUUCCUGUUUUUUGUUAUAAUAAUUUUUAAUAGUUUUUCCACUUACCUAUGUAACCUCAAACCACGUGACUUAGUUUUAAUUGUUUUGGAACUUUACAUAAAUGAAUCAUACUGUUUGUGUUCUUUUGUGGGUUGUUUCUUUCAACACCAUGUGAGGUUCAUCCUUUCUUUUUAUUUCUCUUCUUCCCCACUCCCUCCUCCUCUUCCUCCUCUUCCUCCUCUUCCUCCUCUUCCUCCUCUUCCUCCUUUUCCUCCUUUUCCUCCUUUUCCUCCUUUUCCUCCUUCUCUACUGAAGGUCAAAUUCAGGGCACUCUACCACUGAGGUACAUCCUCACUUCCCCCCACUUUUUUUUUACUUUUUAUUCCUUGCUAAGUUGCCCAGGCAGGACUCGAACUUGUGAUCUCCCUGCCUCAGCCUCCUACAGUGCUGAGAUUACAGCCAUC